GAGUUUGAUCUUGGCUCAGGACGAACGCUGGCGGCGUGCUUAACACAUGCAAGUCGAACGGAGCACCCCUGAAUGAGGUUUCGGCCAAAGGAAGGGAAUGCUUAGUGGCGGACUGGUGAGUAACGCGUGAGGAACCUGCCUUUCAGAGGGGGACAACAGUUGGAAACGACUGCUAAUACCGCAUGACACAUGAAUGGGGCAUCCCAUUGAUGUCAAAGAUUUAUCGCUGAAAGAUGGCCUCGCGUCCCAUUAGCUAGUAGGCGGGUAACGGCCCACCUAGGCGACGAUGGGUAGCCGGACUGAGAGGUUGACCGGCCACAUUGGGACUGAGAUACGGCCCAGACUCCUACGGGAGGCAGCAGU
Molecule: ribosomal RNA, 363 nt
Filed under: uncultured bacterium
Lineage: Bacteria
Description: bacterial SSU rRNA
Rfam family: Bacterial small subunit ribosomal RNA
Source: RNAcentral